AGUGAACGCUGGCGGUAGGCCUAACACAUGCAAGUCGAACGGCAGCACAGUAAGAGCUUGCUCUUACGGGUGGCGAGUGGCGGACGGGUGAGGAAUACAUCGGCAUCUACUUUUUCGUGGGGGAUAACGUAGGGAAACUUACGCUAAUACCGCAUACGACCUACGGGUGAAAGCAGGGGAUCUUCGGACCUUGCGCGAUUGAAUGAGCCGAUGUCGGAUUAGCUAGUUGGCGGGGUAAAGGCCCACCAAGGCGACGAUCCGUAGCUGGUCUGAGAGGAUGAUCAGCCACACUGGAACUGAGACACGGUCCAGACUCCUACGGGAGGCAGCAGUGGGGAAUAUUGGACAAUGGGCGCAAGCCUGAUCCAGCCAUACCGCGUGGGUGAAGAAGGCCUUCGGGUUGUAAAGCCCUUUUGUUGGGAAAGAAAAGCAGCAGGUUAAUACCCCGCUGUUCUGACGGUACCCAAAGAAUAAGCACCGGCUAACUACGUG
Molecule: ribosomal RNA, 492 nt
Filed under: uncultured bacterium
Lineage: Bacteria
Description: partial 16S ribosomal RNA
Rfam family: Bacterial small subunit ribosomal RNA
Source: RNAcentral